RNAcentral lists this ribosomal RNA (472 nucleotides) under uncultured organism. RNAcentral describes it as "partial 16S ribosomal RNA". It matches the Rfam family "Bacterial small subunit ribosomal RNA", at positions 333 to 797 of the family's 1533-position model. The record is from RNAcentral.
ACACUCCUGCGGGAGGCAGCAGUGGGGAAUAUUGCACAAUGGGCGCAAGCCUGAUGCAGCCAUGCCGCGUGUAUGAAGAAGGCCUUCGGGUUGUAAAGUACUUUCAGCGGGGAGGAAGGCGAUAAGGUUAAUAACCUUGUUGAUUGACGUUACCCGCAGAAGAAGCACCGGCUAACUCCGUGCCAGCAGCCGCGGUAAUACGGAGGGUGCAAGCGUUAAUCGGAAUUACUGGGCGUAAAGCGCACGCAGGCGGUCUGUCAAGUCGGAUGUGAAAUCCCCGGGCUCAACCUGGGAACUGCAUUCGAAACUGGCAGGCUAGAGUCUUGUAGAGGGGGGUAGAAUUCCAGGUGUAGCGGUGAAAUGCGUAGAGAUCUGGAGGAAUACCGGUGGCGAAGGCGGCCCCCUGGACAAAGACUGACGCUCAGGUGCGAAAGCGUGGGGAGCAAACAGGAUUAGAUACCCUUGUAGUCCC